This 519-nucleotide ribosomal RNA is filed under the name uncultured eukaryote. Its description in RNAcentral is "bacterial SSU rRNA". It matches the Rfam family "Eukaryotic small subunit ribosomal RNA", at positions 1161 to 1695 of the family's 1831-position model. The record is from RNAcentral.
AGGGCACCACCAGGAGUGGAGCCUGCGGCUUAAUUUGACUCAACACGGGAAAACUCACCCGGCCCGAACACCGUAAGGAUUGACAGACUGAGAGCUCUUUCUUAAUUCGGUGGGUGGUGGUGCAUGGCCGUUCUUAGUUGGUGGAGCGAUUUGUCUGGUUAAUUCCGAUAACGAACGAGACUCUGGCCUAUUAAAUAGUCGGUAUAUCCAGAAAAGUUUACCGUACUUCUUAGAGGGACAAACGGCGUCUAGCCGCGUGAAAUAGAGCAAUAACAGGUCUGUGAUGCCCUUAGAUGUCCGGGGCUGCACGCGCGCUACACUGAAAGAAUCAGUAUGGCGCUUUAACCUAGUCCGGAAGGAAUUGGGUAACCCGAGCAAAAUUCUUUCGUGCUUGGGAUUAGGGAAAUUGCAAUUAUUUUCCUUUAAACGGAAGGAAUCCCAGUAAAAGGCGGGUCAUAAGCUCGCGUUGAUUACGUUCCCUGCCCUUUGGACAAACCGCCGUGGUUAUACAGAUGGAUG